AAGUCGAGCGGACAGAUGGGAGCUUGCUCCCUGAUGUUAGCGGCGGACGGGUGAGUAACACGUGGGUAACCUGCCUGUAAGACUGGGAUAACUCCGGGAAACCGGGGCUAAUACCGGAUGGUUGUUUGAACCGCAUGGUUCAAACAUAAAAGGUGGCUUCGGCUACCACUUACAGAUGGACCCGCGGCGCAUUAGCUAGUUGGUGAGGUAACGGCUCACCAAGGCAACGAUGCGUAGCCGACCUGAGAGGGUGAUCGGCCACACUGGGACUGAGACACGGCCCAGACUCCUACGGGAGGCAGCAGUAGGGAAUCUUCCGCAAUGGACGAAAGUCUGACGGAGCAACGCCGCGUGAGUGAUGAAGGUUUUCGGAUCGUAAAGCUCUGUUGUUAGGGAAGAACAAGUACCGUUCGAAUAGGGCGGUACCUUGACGGUACCUAACCAGAAAGCCACGGCUAACUACGUGCCAGCAGCCGCGGUAAUACGUAGGUGGCAAGCGUUGUCCGGAAUUAUUGGGCGUAAAGGGCUCGCAGGCGGUUUCUUAAGUCUGAUGUGAAAGCCCCCGGCUCAACCGGGGAGGGUCAUUGGAAACUGGGGAACUUGAGUGCAGAAGAGGAGAGUGGAAUUCCACGUGUAGCGGUGAAAUGCGUAGAGAUGUGGAGGAACACCAGUGGCGAAGGCGACUCUCUGGUCUGUAACUGACGCUGAGGAGCGAAAGCGUGGGGAGCGAACAGGAUUAGAUACCCUGGUAGUCCACGCCGUAAACGAUGAGUGCUAAGUGUUAGGGGUUUCCGCCCCUUAGUGCUGCAGCUAACGCAUUAAGCACUCCGCCUGGGGAGUACGGUCGCAAGACUGAAACUCAAGGAAUUGACGGGGGCC
RNAcentral lists this ribosomal RNA (879 nucleotides) under Bacillus siamensis. RNAcentral's name for it is "bacterial SSU rRNA". It matches the Rfam family "Bacterial small subunit ribosomal RNA", at positions 59 to 921 of the family's 1533-position model. Lineage: Bacteria; Bacillati; Bacillota; Bacilli; Caryophanales; Bacillaceae. The record is from RNAcentral.